CCUACGGGAGGCAGCAGUGAGGAAUAUUGGUCAAUGGGCGUAAGCCUGAACCAGCCAAGUCGCGUGAGGGAUGAAGGUUCUAUGGAUCGUAAACCUCUUUUGUAAGGGAAUAAAGUGUGGGACGUGUCCUAUUUUGUAUGUAACCUAUGAAUAAGGAUCGGUUAACUCCGUGCCAGCAGCCGCGGUAAUACGGAGGAUCCGAGCGUUAGCCGGGUUUAUUGGGUUUAAAGGGUGCGUAGGCGGCCUUUUAAGUCAGCGGUGAAAGUUUGUGGCUCAACCAUCGAAUUGCCGUUGAAACUGGGGGGCUUGAGUGUGUUUGAGGCAGGCGGAAUGCGUGGUGUAGCGGUGAAAUGCUUAGAUAUCACGCAGAACCCCGAUUGCGAAGGCAGCCUGCCAAGCCAUGACUGACGCUGAUGCACGAAAGCGUGGGGAUCAAACAGGAUUAGAUACCCUUGUAGUC
RNAcentral lists this ribosomal RNA (460 nucleotides) under uncultured bacterium. RNAcentral's name for it is "partial 16S ribosomal RNA". It matches the Rfam family "Bacterial small subunit ribosomal RNA", at positions 338 to 795 of the family's 1533-position model. The record is from RNAcentral.